RNAcentral lists this ribosomal RNA (455 nucleotides) under uncultured bacterium. RNAcentral's name for it is "bacterial SSU rRNA". It matches the Rfam family "Bacterial small subunit ribosomal RNA", at positions 340 to 786 of the family's 1533-position model. The record is from RNAcentral.
UACGGGAGGCAGCAGUGGGGAAUAUUGCACAAUGGGCGCAAGCCUGAUGCAGCCAUGCCGCGUGUAUGAAGAAGGCCUUCGGGUUGUAAAGUACUUUCAGUCGUAAGGAAGGUGUUAAGGUUAAUAACCUUAGCAAUUGACGUUAGCGACAGAAGAAGCACCGGCUAACUCCGUGCCAGCAGCCGCGGUAAUACGGAGGGUGCGAGCGUUAAUCGGAAUUACUGGGCGUAAAGGGCACGCAGGCGGUUAAUUAAGUUGGAUGUGAAAUCCCCGGGCUUAACCUGGGAAUGGCAUUCAAGACUGGUUAGCUAGAGUCUUGUAGAGGGGGUAGAAUUCCAUGUGUAGCGGUGAAAUGCGUAGAGAUGUGGAGGAAUACCGGUGGCGAAAGGCGGCCCCCUGGACAAAGACUGACGCUCAUGUGCGAAAGCGUGGGGAGCAAACAGGGAUUAGAUACC